AAAGUAUCUCUGGCAACUGUUUAUCAAAAACACAGCUCCCUGCGAACUCGCAAGAGGAUGUAUAGGGGGUGACACCUGACCAAUGCCAGAAGGUCAAAUAUCGGUGGUGCAUGGUCGCAAGAUUGUGUGCUGGCUGAUAUAAGCCCUGGUGAAUGUCGGCCGUAACUAUAACGGUCCUAAGGUAGCGAAGUACCUUGUCGGGUAAGUUCCGACGCGCACGAAUGGUGUAAUGACUGGAGAACUGUCUCGAAGACCUGCUCGGUGAAAAUACAAUACCGGUGAAGAUGCCGGUAGGGAUAACAGGCUAGUUCCGCCUAAGAGUUCAUAUCGACGGCGGAGUUCGGCACCUCGAUGUCGGCUCACCUUAUCCUGGUGGUGGAGAAGCUGCCAAGGGUUUAGCUGUUCGCUAAUUAAAAAGGUACGCGAGCUGGGUUCAAACCGUUAAGAUCAUAAACGAUUGUGAUUUUAACAGUUUGAACCGUCGAGGAAAGUAAAGAAAUCUCGUAUAUUUCUUUCAAUGUUUUAAUCUGAGAUUAAGACCGCUAUACACAGUUGUGUAUAUCACGGCGGCCCCGCCAAUAAAACGACGGGGAGAAUUUCACUUAUAUCGGUGAAGUCCUACUUUUAUAAAAGAGGAUAAUACCGAGGGAAGCGUAAGCACCCGUAGAGACUAAAUGUGAAAUAUUUUUUGAGAAAUCAAAAGAGAAAGUUAUAGUCCAAUCCCACAAGUAAUUGUGGUUCCCAUUUUUGUAUUUAAACGCGCAAAAAUGAAGAGACUAAAUCAUUUUUAGUAAAAAAUGAUCGUCCGAACUUUUGUUUACAAAAGUUUUAGGAAGUAAAAUAUAGAUGCGUGAGACAGGUUGGUCUCCUAUCUACUGCAGGCGUUGAUUCUUGAGAAGAUCUGCUCUUAGUACGAGAGGACCGGAGUGGACUGACCUCUGGUGUGUGGGCUCUACUGCCAAGUGGACUGCCCAGUAGCUAUGUCGGGAAUGGAUAAGUUCUGAAAGCAUCUAAGAACGAAGCCAACUUCAAGAUGAGGAAUCGUUUGAGAAACCUAAGAGAUGAUUAGGUUGAUAGGCACUAGGUGUACAGACAGUAAUGUCUUUAGCCGAGGUGUACUAAUCGUUCGA
Molecule: ribosomal RNA, 1130 nt
Filed under: Candidatus Nomurabacteria bacterium GW2011_GWF2_36_19
Lineage: Bacteria; Candidatus Nomuraibacteriota
Description: bacterial LSU rRNA
Rfam family: Bacterial large subunit ribosomal RNA
Source: RNAcentral